UUCUAAAAUGGCAGAUAGAUGCAUAGGAUUUAAGCUCCUACCAGGAAAAUUAAUUUUUCUUUUAGAAU
Molecule: transfer RNA, 68 nt
Filed under: Pleoticus muelleri
Lineage: Eukaryota; Metazoa; Arthropoda; Malacostraca; Decapoda; Solenoceridae
Description: tRNA-Leu
Source: RNAcentral